UGGGGAAUAUUGCACAAUGGGCGCAAGCCUGAUGCAGCCAUGCCGCGUGUGUGAAGAAGGCCUUCGGGUUGUAAAGCACUUUCAGCGAGGAGGAAGGUGGUGAACUUAAUACGUUCAUCAAUUGACGUUACUCGCAGAAGAAGCACCGGCUAACUCCGUGCCAGCAGCCGCGGUAAUACGGAGGGUGCAAGCGUUAAUCGGAAUUACUGGGCGUAAAGCGCACGCAGGCGGUUUGUUAAGUCAGAUGUGAAAUCCCCGGGCUCAACCUGGGAACUGCAUUUGAAACUGGCAAGCUAGAGUCUCGUAGAGGGGGGUAGAAUUCCAGGUGUAGCGGUGAAAUGCGUAGAGAUCUGGAGGAAUACCGGUGGCGAAGGCGGCCCCCCUGGACGAAGACUGACGCUCAGGUGCGAAGGCGUGGGGCAGCAAACAGGAUUAGAUACCCUGGUAGUCCACGCUGUAAACGAUGUCGAUUUGGAGGUUGUGCCCCUUGAGGCGUGGCUUCCGGAGCUAACGCGUUAAAUCGACCGCCUGGGGAGUACGGCCGCAAGGUUAAAACUCAAAUGAAUUG
This 568-nucleotide ribosomal RNA is filed under the name uncultured bacterium. Its description in RNAcentral is "partial 16S ribosomal RNA". It matches the Rfam family "Bacterial small subunit ribosomal RNA", at positions 355 to 912 of the family's 1533-position model. The record is from RNAcentral.